AGCGAACGCUGGCGAUAGGCCUAACACAUGCAAGUCGAACGGAAGCACAGUAAGUGCUUGCUCUUACGGGUGGCCAGUCGCGGACGGAAGAGGUAUAUAUCGGACUCUACUUUUUCGUGGGGGAUAACGUAGGGAAACUUACGCUCAUACCGCAUACGCCCUACGGGUGAAAGCAGGGGAUAUUCGGACCUUGCGCGAUUGAAUGCGCCGAUGUCGGAUUAGCUAGUUGGCGGGGUAAUGGCCAACCAAGUCGACGAUCCGUAGCUGGUCUGGGAGGAGGAUCGGCCACACGGGAGCUGGGACACCGUCAAGGCGCCUACGGGAGGCAGCAGUGGCGAAUAGUGGACAAUGGGCGCAAGCCUUGUCCAGUGAGAGCGCGUGGGUGGAGGAGGCCUUCGGGUUGUAAAGCCGGUCUUUGGGUAAAGAAAAGCAGCAGGUUAAGACGACGCGGUUCUGACGGUACCCAGAGAAUAAGCACCGGCUAACUUCGUG
RNAcentral lists this ribosomal RNA (492 nucleotides) under uncultured bacterium. RNAcentral describes it as "partial 16S ribosomal RNA". It matches the Rfam family "Bacterial small subunit ribosomal RNA", at positions 29 to 507 of the family's 1533-position model. The record is from RNAcentral.